RNAcentral lists this unclassified non-coding RNA (3903 nucleotides) under Leishmania donovani. RNAcentral's name for it is "gene:LdHU3.28.2340(CDS-product:hypothetical_prote in_conserved)". The record is from RNAcentral. Lineage: Eukaryota; Euglenozoa; Kinetoplastea; Trypanosomatida; Trypanosomatidae.
CGUGCGUAUGCACACGCACACAUGCGCAUCAUAUCUUCGUCGUCGUCGUCUUUCCUCUGGAACGUACAUCGAGCUCAGCCAUGAUUCGCAAGAAGGUACUUAGCAUCGGCAACAACUCCGCGACCCUUCUCGUGCAGGACACGGAGGCGGGCGGGGCGUUACGCGUGCUGCGCCGCAUGAAUGUGGCCGGAUGGGCCGCCGAGGAGGUGAGCGCGGCAGUUCGGAUGUACGAGGAGCUGCAGAAGCGCCGCCUGCGGGGCUUUGUGCCGAUCCACACCGUCCUCAUUCAGAGCUCCUUUCUCAGUGUCGUCGCUUCAUACGCCUCGGAGGGCGACGUCACGACCUUGAUUGAGGAGGAAGAGCACAACUCGCUCGAAGAGGCCAGCGUGCUGCGGUGGCUCUGCGCGUGCGCGCUGGCGAUUCGGCAGCUGCACUUGCACAAUCUCUUCUUCCCGGGACUUACAGGCGAUCGUCUUUUUCUGGACCACCACACAGGUGGUACGGCAAACCUCCUCCUAGGCGUGCCGCUGCCCCUCCCGGUCUACUAUUCGCAGCUGCAAGAGCGUAAGAAGAGCGGCCUGCGCGUAGAGCUCGACUAUCCACCCGAGGUUCUCGCGGCAGCUGCGGCACAUCCCAACGGCAGCGGCGAAGCCGCGAACCACAGCGCCAGGAGUGGCAGCGGCUAUCACCCCACACUGAGCGACGUCUGGUGUCUGGGCCGACUCGGCGUGGUGCUACUCACGGCAAAGGGUACAAACAUGGCGCGACGCUCGGGCACCGCACGCCAGCUUCUCUCUCGCAUGAUGGCAGACGAGCCAGCGACGCGACCGUCGAUGGAGAGCGUUGUCCAGUCACUAGUUGCCUUGGCUGGCGCCGUCAGCUUGGGCCAGCCUCCAUGGCCCUCACACCCGGCCACUGCUCCUUCUACCACCUCUGCGCAAGUCGCGUCCGCAAGCUCGGCUCCUGCCAUGUCGAGUAGACAGCCGCACAUCGCCGCAUCUGGAAGCGCUGGCGGGAAAGCUGCGAUCGUAGUGCAGUCGGCAGCUGCCGAAAACCGUAGCGCCGGCGGAGGGGCGCCCAAGGCCCAGUGCACGACGAAGGGUGCCUCGCACGGGUGUGCCUCCAGUCCACCACCAAGCUCCACCACGUCCUCGACUCCGCCCGAUGUGCCGUCCACUCGCGUACAUAAUAGUCAGCGCCACUCGGCCGGGACACCUGCCACCGUAGAACACUCGUCACCGCCACCACCGAUGUCGGUACCCACCCCGCACCUCGACCACCCCGGGCGUCUCACGCACGCGCCGGACGACAGCUGGCAUCGCCGUGCAGGGGAGAAGUUUGAGCUGCUGCAGCGCAUGAAUGCGAGUCCGCCGAAGCAGCACGCCUUCAUCGGAGGUGGCGAGACACCGCAAGGGACUUCACGCGGCGAGCACGGUCAUCACCGCCUUCGCGGGUCGACAAGCAACCUCCUCAACACGAAGUCGCCCAGCCCGCGACGCAACAGCCGAGGUGGCCUCAUUGACCACAACACGCGCGUGCUGGACGAGAUUUUCGCGGAGCAAGGGGAGCUGCUGCGGAAAGCUGGGAUAUGGCACCUGUCGCCGCGGCGGCGCAUGGACGAUGCCAAGCAGUUUCAACGAGAAACGCUACGGCAGCUGAGGCUGGAGACGGCAGCGCGCCAACAGGAGAUGCGAAAGCACUUCACUGAGUGGCAGCGGCAGAACAAUCAGCGGCUCACCGACGCCAACAACGUGGAUGUGAUCGACCAGGACGGCAUCGUCAUCGUCGCUCCUCGCCCCGCCCCACCACACGAGUUUCUCCCAGUCGCCACGGCCGCGCCUGCCGCUGAGGAGGAGGAGAUGGACACUAGUGUGGAGCCCCCGAAGUCGAGGACUCAGUUCACGGAGGACGCUCAGAGUGACGCGUCGGCUUGCCAGACACCACUGCCCGCCUCACCGCCACCACCAAACUCGGCUUCACGGCCGGCAACACCGCGUACCAAAACGCCAGCCGGCGGCAGCACCCCGGCGGCCGCGGUCAACGCGUAUUCCACUCGGUACAGUGGAAACAUGCCGCGACCUUCGCACACAUCCCUGUCGACACAGGAGGCGUAUGGUGCACGUGGGGCCGGAUUCUCUGCGCUGCCGCUGCGCGGUGCCACUUCCCCACGUCUGCCGCCGCCGCCGCCGGACCCCGUGCAGCCGUACCCUCUUCGGAGUAGCGACUCCUCUGGACAGGCCACCAGCCCGUCGAACGACAGCGAUGAGCGCCCCAUGCACAGCGCCGACGGCGGCGGCCGCUCGGCGUUGAAGAGCUCGACGGAUGUGGGCACCCUCUCCGCUGUUGAGUGGACGAUUGACGGCAUCCGCAGCACCCUGCGUAUGCUGCUGCGGAACCGCAACCUCUACGGCGAGACCAUGCAGGAGGUGGCGCUGUUUAUCAGUCAGCCGGAGGAGGCUCGGCUGGCGGCGCGCGCGAAUGAGAUUUUCAUGAAGCGACUGCGCAAGUUGCUCCGGGAUGACGCGCUCUUCUUCGGCGCGGUGCCGCUCUGUGCGCAACUGGCGGCACUGGAAGGACUCGACCACACCCUGCGCGAUUCCUCCAGCGGCCUCCCUUCUCGGCAGAGGUAUUAGCCAGUGAUGCAGACAUAGCGGAGGGGGAGGGGGUGAUAUGCGCCCAGCAUCCACGGCGCAGACCGCUCUCUCUCUUUCGCUCGCGCGCCUCCCUGUAGUUCUUGGGGUGCCGGAGUCUCAUGCUGCCGCACGCAGAGGCGCGCCCUGCAUACUUAUCGCACCCCACACGCCCACACUCCCAUGUACUGGCAUGCACGUCAGCCUCUCCUCUACGGAUUCUUUCUCUACAGACGUUGCCGCAUUUCCGCUUCCUUUCCCUUGUCAGUUCCGGGGUUGUUUCCUCGUGGGCUGAUUGCAAGGCUGCACGGAUUUCCGAUUCGUCGCUGCUUGAUUAUGCACGACGCCACUGCCGGCGGCUGCGCUGCUUCCGCCGUGAGCGUAGUGCGUAUAUCGGUGCAUGUAUGCCUGGCUGUGUGGCUGCACCUGCUGAGAAGUCGAGAGCACACCUAUUCGUUGUCGGGCACUCUCUACGCUUGUUCGACACCGUCCGCUGGACGCGCAGACGCGUUUCCCUCCUCUCCGUUCCGGUCCCGCCGCCCCUCCCCGGAACCGGCCAGCAGCCCUUCCUGCCCCUUUUUGCGGUUUCAGCCAAACGAAAGAAUGUGUGUUGUGUUAUUUUUCCUUUUUUUGUAUCUCUUUCUGUGUGUGUGUGUGUGCCUGUCCGUCCGUCUGUCUCUCUGGGCUCUGCCCCUCCUCUCUCCUCCAUUUCCCGCUGUAUGAUGGCUUCUCGCGCCAACCGUCAGUUGUGUAGGGUGUAAGAUGUGUGCGUGUGUUGUGCCUUCCUUCAUCUGCCACGCCCAAACGGCUACAUGCGUGCAACCUCCUCCUUUGCUUCGCUUCUCUGUGUUUGCGUGCGUUUCCACAUGUUGAUUUCUUCUUUAUUACAUCUUUUUGUUGUUGUUGGUUGGUUGAUGGUGCCGACGCGUCGGUAUGCGCACAUGUGCAUGUGUGCUUUCCGUGUAGGCGGUGGGAUGCAUGUCGGCCCCUUUAUCUCUGCCUCUCCGGCCACCUGCGCGCCAUCUGUGGUCUCUGGUUGACCUUUCUUCUCUCUUGUGUCCAAUGCCUCCGUCACCUCCGUCUCUCUGCCCCGUCUCUCUCCUUUCUCGCUGACGCCUUUCCUUUGUAUCGUUUAUUUAUUUCCGUCCGUGUCGGCUCCUCUCGUGUCCUCUCUCUCGCUCUCCGUCACACAAAACAGCGCGUGCUUGCACAUGACCUGGACGUGCGACACCGCCUCGGAAGAGUACAUGCGCACCGGAAAGGGCCCGAAAAG